AAAAAUGAGAUGUUUUGGAUAUCAUUUGUCUUGGAAAAACAAGAAUGUGUGAUCUUUUAUUAAUAGGUACAAUCCCUUUAUGUAAGUAACCUGAUAAAAGGGUGAUUUUAUGCUCUGCUAAAAAUGAGUGGGAUGGCUUCCUAACAUACAUCCCUUGGUGCUCUUUCAAGCACUGCAUGGAGCAUAUUUGCUGCUACUUUACAACAAAUAGCAUCUUACUUAUAUGAAAGAAUUGCUCUAGCUUCCUGCAGAAAUGCUAUUUAUGUCCACUGUGCAUUUCAUCUAUUUCAGAGCCUGCUGGCUCACACAGUCAGUCCCAGUAUGGAUAUGGACUACCGGAGUCACCAUGACAGCCGACUUGGUUCUUUCUUACCAUUUCUUGAUGUCACAGUACAUGGAUUCCUUCAAGACCAAUAGUCUUACAUUUCCAGGUGUCUUUGUCCAUGUGUAGGAAUGCUAGCAAAUCUCUACUUGGUUCCAGAA
This 483-nucleotide long non-coding RNA is filed under the name Chinchilla lanigera (long-tailed chinchilla). Its description in RNAcentral is "lncRNA (ENSCLAG00000028095.1)". Lineage: Eukaryota; Metazoa; Chordata; Mammalia; Rodentia; Chinchillidae. The record is from RNAcentral.